AGCGAACGCUGGCGGCAGGCUUAACACAUGCAAGUCGAGCGGGCAUCCUUGUGGUGUCAGCGGCAGACGGGUGAGUAACGCGUGGGAACGUGCCCUUCGGUUCGGAAUAACUCAGGGAAACUUGAGCUAAUACCGGAUACGUGCGAGAGCAGAAAGGUUUAUCUGUCGAAGGAUCGGCCCGCGUCUGAUUAGCUAGUUGGUGAGGUUAUGGCUCACCAAGGCGACGAUCAGUAGCUGGUCUGAGAGGAUGAUCAGCCACACUGGGACUGAGACACGGCCCAGACUCCUACGGGAGGCAGCAGUGGGGAAUAUUGGACAAUGGGGGCAACCCUGAUCCAGCCAUGCCGCGUGAGUGAUGACGGCCUUAGGGUUGUAAAGCUCUUUUCUCCGGGACGAUAAUGACGGUACCGGAGGAAUAAGCCCCGGCUAACUUCGUG
This 437-nucleotide ribosomal RNA is filed under the name uncultured bacterium. RNAcentral's name for it is "partial 16S ribosomal RNA". It matches the Rfam family "Bacterial small subunit ribosomal RNA", at positions 29 to 507 of the family's 1533-position model. The record is from RNAcentral.